This is a ribosomal RNA of Drosophila biarmipes, 3971 nucleotides long. NCBI's taxonomy places the organism in Eukaryota, Metazoa, Arthropoda, Insecta, Diptera, Drosophilidae. The record is from RefSeq and is a predicted model, not a curated record.
CAACCUCAACUCAUAUGGGACUACCCCCUGAAUUUAAGCAUAUUAAUUAGGGGAGGAAAAGAAACUAACAAGGAUUUUCUUAGUAGCGGCGAGCGAAAAGAAAUCAGUUCAGCACUAAGUCACUUUGUCUAUAUGGCAAAUGUGAGAUGCAGUGUAUGGAGCGUCAAUAUUCUAGUAUGAGAAAUUAACGAUUUAAGUCCUUCUUAAAUGAGGCCAUUUACCCAUAGAGGGUGCCAGGCCCGUAUAACGUUAAUGAUUACUAGAUGAUGUUUCCAAAGAGUCGUGUUGCUUGAUAGUGCAGCACUAAGUGGGUGGUAAACUCCAUCUAAAACUAAAUAUAACCAUGAGACCGAUAGUAAACAAGUACCGUGAGGGAAAGUUGAAAAGAACUCUGAAUAGAGAGUUAAACAGUACGUGAAACUGCUUAGAGGUUAAGCCCGAUGAACCUGAAUAUCCGUUAUGGAAAAUUCAUCAUUAGAAUUGUAAUAUUUAAACAAUAUUAUGAUAAUAGUGUGCAUUUUUUCCAUAUAAGGACAUUGUAAUCUAUUAGCAUACCAAAUUUAUCAUAAAAUAUAACUUAUAGUUUAUUCAAAUUAAUUUGCUUGCAUUUUAACACAGAAUAAAUGUUAUUAAUUUGAUAAAGUGCUGAUAGAUUUAUAUGAAUACAGUGCGUUAAUUUUUCGGAAUUAUAUAAUGGCAUAAUUAUCAUUGAUUUUUGUGUUUAUUAUAUGCACUUGUAGGAUUAACAAUGCGAAAGAUUCAGGAUACCUUCGGGACCCGUCUUGAAACACGGACCAAGGAGUCUAACAUAUGUGCAAGUUAUUGGGAUAUAAACCUAAUAGCGUAAUUAACUUGACUAAUAAUGGGAUUAGUUUUUUAACUAUUUAUAGCUAAUUAACACAAUCCCGGGGCGUUCUAUAUAGUUAUGUAUAAUGAUAUUUAUAUUAUUUAUGCCUCUAACUGGAACGUACCUUGAGCAUAUAUGCUGUGACCCGAAAGAUGGUGAACUAUACUUGAUCAGGUUGAAGUCAGGGGAAACCCUGAUGGAAGACCGAAACAGUUCUGACGUGCAAAUCGAUUGUCAGAAUUGAGUAUAGGGGCGAAAGACCAAUCGAACCAUCUAGUAGCUGGUUCCUUCCGAAGUUUCCCUCAGGAUAGCUGGUGCAUUUUAAUAUUAUAUAAAAUAAUCUUAUCUGGUAAAGCGAAUGAUUAGAGGCCUUAGGGUCGAAACGAUCUUAACCUAUUCUCAAACUUUAAAUGGGUAAGAACCUUAACUUUCUUGAUAUGAAGUUCAAGGUUAUGAUAUAAUGUGCCCAGUGGGCCACUUUUGGUAAGCAGAACUGGCGCUGUGGGAUGAACCAAACGUAAUGUUACGGUGCCCAAAUUAACAACUCAUGCAGAUACCAUGAAAGGCGUUGGUUGCUUAAAACAGCAGGACGGUGAUCAUGGAAGUCGAAAUCCGCUAAGGAGUGUGUAACAACUCACCUGCCGAAGCAACUAGCCCUUAAAAUGGAUGGCGCUUAAGUUGUAUACCUAUACAUUACCGCUAAAGUAGAUGAUUUAUAUUACUUGUAAUAUAAAUUUUGAAACUUUAGUGAGUAGGAAGGUACAAUGGUAUGCGUAGAAGUGUUUGGCGUAAGCCUGCAUGGAGCUGCCAUUGGUACAGAUCUUGGUGGUAGUAGCAAAUAAUCGAAUGAGACCUUGGAGGACUGAAGUGGAGAAGGGUUUCGUGUGAACAGUGGUUGAUCACGAGUUAGUCGGUCCUAAGUUCAAGGCGAAAGCCGAAAAUUUUCAAGUAAAAUACAAAUGCCAAACAAAUAUAUAUAUUAUAUAAAAUCUAGCUAAAUUAAUAUACUUGAAUAAUUUUGAACGAAAGGGAAUACGGUUCCAAUUCCGUAACCUGUUGAGUAUCCGUUUGUUAUUAAAUAUGGGCCUCGUGCUCAUCCUGGCAACAGGAACGACCAUAAAGAAGCCGUCGAGAGAUAUCGGAAGAGUUUUCUUUUCUGUUUUAUAGCCGUACUACCAUGGAAGUCUUUCGCAGAGAGAUAUGGUAGAUGGGCUAGAAGAGCAUGACAUAUACUGUUGUGUCGAUAUUUUCUCCUCGGACCUUGAAAAUUUAUGGUGGGGACACGCAAACUUCUCAACAGGCCGUACCAAUAUCCGCAGCUGGUCUCCAAGGUGAAGAGUCUCUAGUCGAUAGAAUAAUGUAGGUAAGGGAAGUCGGCAAAUUAGAUCCGUAACUUCGGGAUAAGGAUUGGCUCUGAAGAUUGAGAUAGUCGGGCUUGAUUGGGAAACAAUAACAUGGUUUAUGUGCUCGUUCUGGGUAAAUAGAGUUUCUAGCAUUUAUGUUAGUUACUUGUUCCCCGGAUAGUUUAGUUACGUAGCCAAUUGUGGAACUUUCUUGCUAAAAUUUUUAAGAAUACUAAUUGGGUUAAACCAAUUAGUUCUUAUUAAUUAUAACGAUUAUCAAUUAACAAUCAAUUCAGAACUGGCACGGACUUGGGGAAUCCGACUGUCUAAUUAAAACAAAGCAUUGUGAUGGCCCUAGCGGGUGUUGACACAAUGUGAUUUCUGCCCAGUGCUCUGAAUGUCAAAGUGAAGAAAUUCAAGUAAGCGCGGGUCAACGGCGGGAGUAACUAUGACUCUCUUAAGGUAGCCAAAUGCCUCGUCAUCUAAUUAGUGACGCGCAUGAAUGGAUUAACGAGAUUCCUACUGUCCCUAUCUACUAUCUAGCGAAACCACAGCCAAGGGAACGGGCUUGGAAUAAUUAGCGGGGAAAGAAGACCCUUUUGAGCUUGACUCUAAUCUGGCAGUGUAAGGAGACAUAAGAGGUGUAGAAUAAGUGGGAGAUAUUAGACCUCGGUUUGGUAUCGCCAAUGAAAUACCACUACUCUUAUUGUUUCCUUACUUACUUGAUUAAAUGGAACGUGUAUCAUUUCCUAGCCAUUAUACGGAUAUAUUUAUUAUAUCUUAUGGUAUUGGGUUUUGAUGCAAGCUUCUUGAUCAAAGUAUCACGAGUUUGUUAUAUAAUCGCAAACAAAUUCUUUAAUAAAACGGUGCAUUUAUGUAUUUUUGAUUUGAAAAUUUGGUAUAACUCCAAUUACUCAGGUAUGAUCCAAUUCAAGGACAUUGCCAGGUAGGGAGUUUGACUGGGGCGGUACAUCUCUCAAAUAAUAACGGAGGUGUCCCAAGGCCAGCUCAGUGCGGACAGAAACCACACAUAGAGCAAAAGGGCAAAUGCUGACUUGAUCUCGGUGUUCAGUACACACAGGGACAGCAAAAGCUCGGCCUAUCGAUCCUUUUGGUUUAAAGAGUUUUUAACAAGAGGUGUCAGAAAAGUUACCAUAGGGAUAACUGGCUUGUGGCGGCCAAGCGUUCAUAGCGACGUCGCUUUUUGAUUCUUCGAUGUCGGCUCUUCCUAUCAUUGUGAAGCAAAAUUCACCAAGCGUUGGAUUGUUCACCCAUGCAAGGGAACGUGAGCUGGGUUUAGACCGUCGUGAGACAGGUUAGUUUUACCCUACUAAUGACAAAACGUUGUUGCGACAGCAUUCCUGCGUAGUACGAGAGGAACCGCAGGUACGGACCAAUGGCACAAUACUUGUUCGAGCGAACAGUGGUAUGACGCUACGUCCGUUGGAUUAUGCCUGAACGCCUCUAAGGUCGUAUCCGUGCUGGACUGCAAUGAUAAAUAAGGGGCAAUUUGCAUUGUAUGGCUUCUAAACCAUUUAAAGUUUAUAAUUUACUUUUUAAACGACAAUGGAUGUGAUGCCAAUGUAAUUUGUAACAUAGUAAAUUGGGAGGAUCUUUGAUCACCUGAUGCCGCGCUAGUUACAUAUAAAAGCAUUAUUUAAUACAAUGACAAAGCCUAGAAUCAAUUGUAAACGACUUUUGUAACAGGCAAGGUGUUGUAAGUGGUUGAGCAGCUGCCAUACUGCGAUCCACUGAAGCUUAUCCUUUGCUUGAUGAUUCGA